AACUAGAGAUCACGGUAAAAUUUUAAGGGUCGAACAGACCCACCUGUUAAGCUUCUACACCCCCAGUAAAAUUUAAUCCAACAUCGAGGUCGCAAUCUUCUCCAUCAAUAAGAACUUUCAGGAAAAAUUACGCUGUUAUCCCUAAGGUAAUUUAAUCUUAUAAUCCAAACAAAAGGAUCAAACACUGGUAAACCAACGUUAAAAUAAUAAAAAGUUUCACAAAUUUUCACAUCACCCCAACAAAAUAGCAAAAACCCCCUACCAAAAAAAAUCCUCCAACAACCAAGAUUCCCUGCCAUAAAACUCUAUAGGGUCUUCUCGUCUUUUUACCAAAUCUAAGCUUUUUCACUCAAAAAUAAAAUUCUAAAAAAUCAGAUAGAGACAGCUUAUUCCUCAUCAAACCUUUCAUUCCAGCUCCCAAUUAAGAAACUAAUGAUUAUGCUACCUUUGCACAGUCAAAAUACUGCGGCCAUUUAAAAAUCAUUGGGCAGGCCCGACCUUAAAUUAAACC
RNAcentral lists this ribosomal RNA (511 nucleotides) under Strongylium sp. YY-2004. Its description in RNAcentral is "partial 16S ribosomal RNA". The record is from RNAcentral. Lineage: Eukaryota; Metazoa; Arthropoda; Insecta; Coleoptera; Tenebrionidae.